RNAcentral lists this unclassified non-coding RNA (300 nucleotides) under Psychotria sp. cx36. Its description in RNAcentral is "partial external transcribed spacer". The record is from RNAcentral. Lineage: Eukaryota; Viridiplantae; Streptophyta; Magnoliopsida; Gentianales; Rubiaceae.
UAGCGACGACCUUUCGUGCAUUCCUCUUCAAUUAUUGGCACAAGAGCCUCUUUUGCCUUGGCCAAGUUGUCGGUUUCUUGUACUGUAUACCUACAUCAAAGGAAUUUGUUGGACAAUACAUCUCAAGUUUUUCCAUUGCUGCCUGAUUACUCGGUGCGGCAUCGGGCAAACCUUAAAGCAAAAUUCGUGUCCCGAAUUGUGUACAAAUUGCUAUGCAGUCUCGGCCCAAAAGCUUAGCUUGAUUUCGGGGAUUCAGAAAACAAUGCAUGUAAGGGUCGGAUAACCCUCUAUUUGCCCACG